RNAcentral lists this ribosomal RNA (440 nucleotides) under uncultured bacterium. RNAcentral describes it as "partial 16S ribosomal RNA". It matches the Rfam family "Bacterial small subunit ribosomal RNA", at positions 338 to 795 of the family's 1533-position model. The record is from RNAcentral.
CCUACGGGAGGCAGCAGUGGGGGAUAUUGCACAAUGGGGGAAACCCUGAUGCAGCGACGCCGCGUGGGGGAAGACGGUCCUCUGGAUUGUAAACCACUGUCACCAGGGACGAAGAUGACGGUACCUGGGGAGGAAGCUCAGGCUAACUAAGUGCCAGCAGCCGCGGAAAGCUGUAGGGAGCGAGCGUUGUCCGGAAUUACUGGGUGAAACGGAAGCGGAGGCGUGGAUGCAAGUUGGGUGUCAAAACUACCGGCUCAACUGGUAGUCGCACUCAAAACUGCAGCUCUUGAGUGAAGUAGAGGCAGGCGGAAUUCCUAGUGUAGCGGUGAAAUGCGUAGAUAUUAGGAGGAACACCAGUGGCGAAGGCGGCCUGCUGGGCUUUUACUGACGCUGAGGCUCGAAAGUGUGGGGAGCAAACAGGAUUAGAUACCCGAGUAGUC